Carassius carassius (crucian carp) is the source of this 699-nucleotide long non-coding RNA. RefSeq lists it as uncharacterized. The record is from RefSeq and is a predicted model, not a curated record. The transcript has 4 exons. Lineage: Eukaryota; Metazoa; Chordata; Actinopteri; Cypriniformes; Cyprinidae.
UUCUUCUUUUUAGAAGUUUUUGGUGAGCCAACCCUCACAAACCUUCCUAAAAACUAAAAGAGCUAUUACUGAGUCUCAGUGAAUCUUGCCAUGAUCAGCUCUUCCCAGAAGAGAAGGAAGACCAAGGAAAUGAUUUGCCCAGGAUGAGGAAUGAAGACGGCCAUCUUGAGCUCAAACAACCAGAAGUCCUCUGAUGAUCUCAUCAGCCAAGUGAGGGGUUUUGACCAAGUGAUGCUCUUGAAAGGAGUGAAAGAAGAUGAUGUGGUAAAUUGUCUUCAGAGAAAAAGCUUCUCUAAAGGUCUUAAAGCAGCUUGAAGAAUGGUCUGGGAUCUUAGGACCGAGAGAUCCUCUGGCUGAGAACAAGCUACACCACAUCAGUGCUGGAUAUCAACCACAAACUGUUUCCAGACACAAGAGAAGAUCACGAUGGGGAGAUGAAACCAGUUUAGAUGUGAUGAUAAGGAAUCAUUAUUUUCUGAAACAGUAUCACAUGUCUUAUAUGUAUCACAUGAUCUUUAUCACAGUUGACUGGAUGGGACUGUGUGACUUUUAAGGACAUUUCAUCACUCAUCUGUGUGAACUGAUUAAUAUAUGAGGUUAAUGUCUUUUUGAUGAUAAUUAUUUUCCUUGAAUCUUAUUUGUCUUGAUGCUACUUUAUCAACUUUAUAGUCUAUGCUUCAAUAAAAUGAAAAUGGUGAA